UAGAAUGUUGUGUAAUGGUAGCACGAAGAUUUUUGAAGUCUUAAGUUUAGGUUCAAAUCCUAAGGUUCUAG
Molecule: transfer RNA, 71 nt
Filed under: Myospalax aspalax (false zokor)
Lineage: Eukaryota; Metazoa; Chordata; Mammalia; Rodentia; Spalacidae
Description: tRNA-Gln
Rfam family: tRNA
About the family: Transfer RNA (tRNA) molecules are approximately 80 nucleotides in length. Their secondary structure includes four short double-helical elements and three loops (D, anti-codon, and T loops). Further hydrogen bonds mediate the characteristic L-shaped molecular structure. tRNAs have two regions of fundamental functional importance: the anti-codon, which is responsible for specific mRNA codon recognition, and the 3' end, to which the tRNAs corresponding amino acid is attached (by aminoacyl-tRNA synthetases). tRNAs cope with the degeneracy of the genetic code in two manners: having more than one tRNA (with a specific anti-codon) for a particular amino acid; and 'wobble' base-pairing, i.e. permitting non-standard base-pairing at the 3rd anti-codon position.
Source: RNAcentral